Molecule: ribosomal RNA, 427 nt
Filed under: uncultured bacterium
Lineage: Bacteria
Description: bacterial SSU rRNA
Rfam family: Bacterial small subunit ribosomal RNA
Source: RNAcentral
CUAAGAAUAUUCCGCAAUGGACGGAAGUCUGACGGAGCGACGCCGCGUGGAUGACGAAGGCCGAAAGGUUGUAAAGUUCUUUUGCUGGGGAAGAAUAACCGCAGGAGGGAAUGCCUGUGGGAUGACAAGAACCGGCGAAUAAGCCCCGGCCAACUACGUGCCAGCAGCCGCGGUAACACGUAGGGGGCGAGCGUUGUUCGGAAUUACUGGGCGUAAAGGGCAUGUAGGCGGCUUGGAAAGCCUGGCGUGAAAGUCUGCAGCUUAACUGCAGGGGUGCGCUGGGAACUGCUGAGCUUGAGCGACGGAGAGGGAGCUGGAAUUCCUGGUGUAGGGGUGAAAUCUGUAGAUAUCAGGAAGAACACCGAUGGCGAAGGCAAGCUCCUGGCCGAUGACUGACGCUGAGGUGCGAAAGUGUGGGGAUCAAACA